RNAcentral lists this ribosomal RNA (408 nucleotides) under uncultured bacterium. Its description in RNAcentral is "partial 16S ribosomal RNA". It matches the Rfam family "Bacterial small subunit ribosomal RNA", at positions 28 to 526 of the family's 1533-position model. The record is from RNAcentral.
GACGAACGCUGGCGGCGUGCUUAACACAUGCAAGUCGAACGAAGUGGCGAACGGGUGAGUAAUACGUGGGUAACCUGCCCUCCUUUUUGGGAUAAGCCUUGGAAACGGGGUCUAAUACCGAAUAAAGGGGGCUGGGCUCGCGGCCUAUCAGCUUGUUGGUGGGGUGAUGGCCUACCAAGGCGGUGACGGGUAGCCGGCCUGAGAGGGUGACCGGCAACAUUGGGACUGGGAUAAGGGCCAGACUCCUACGGGAGGGAGCCAGGGGGAAUCGUCCGAAAUGGACGAAAGUCUGACGGAGCAACGCCGCGUGAGUGAUGACGGCCUUCGGGUUGUAAAGCUCUGUUAAUCGGGACGCGGUACCGGAAUAGAAAGCCACGGCUAACUACGUGCCAGCAGCCGCGGUAAUAC